Long non-coding RNA from Cyanistes caeruleus (blue tit), 2132 nucleotides. RefSeq lists it as uncharacterized. Lineage: Eukaryota; Metazoa; Chordata; Aves; Passeriformes; Paridae. The record is from RefSeq and is a predicted model, not a curated record.
CCCGCCGCAGCGCCACCGCCUCCCCUUCACAGCUCUGAGGGGAGAUGGAGCCCCUCGCCUUGCCCGAACCCCCCGGUAAUCAAAUCACUGCGUCAGGUCCCCUUGUACUUGGCACUGAUAAACCCUGAACCUUAAGCCAGGAGGAGCUUGAUCACACCAUCUCUUUCUCUCCACUGUGACCACACCGACCUCUUCAGGUGAGACUUCCUGCUGCCAUGAGCUGUCCCCUGCAGCCAAUGGCAAUGACUAUGACAGGAGCAUCCUUGAGAAAUCCACUGCAAUCUGAGCAUCCAGACAGGCUGAACCCACCCUCUAUGCUGGCUGAAGUGCUAGUGACUCCUCCAUUGUACUUUGCCUACUCUGGGAAAUGUGAAACAAAAACCCUUCAGGGAUCAAAGACUACCUGAACUUUCCAUUCUAGAUGAGUGACUGGAAGCAAGUAUUUGUCCCUUCUGAGGAAGACCACUAAGUGCAACAGGCUUUUCAUCAAGCUCCUCUACUUGCCAUCACAGACUUGAGUCACUUGGGGCACAUCAGAAAUACCAGACAGGCAUUAAUGUACCAGCAGACAUCACUAGAGAGAACUGGGAUUGUAAGGACCUUUGAGAACCACCUGUGGUGACAUCAGGCAUAAAAGGACAGAGAAUCAAGGAUUGUAAUACACAAAUUACAGGUAAAUACAACCAAGUGUUGUCACAUGGUUUUAGGUGGGAAAUACAGCUACACAACUCUUUAGUACUUAUGCAUAACCUAAUGACACUGUUACCCAGUCUAAUAAUUGCCAGUAAAACAGAACAAUUUAGAAAGCAAUUCAUUUCCCAAUGUCCAUUUUAGCAAAGCUAAUUUCAAAACACACAUUGCUGCAACUUCCAAAUAAAUGCACAUGCAAAAGCACUUAUUGCUCACUGCACUGAAUGCAGAUUCCAACUAACAGCACCUAUUUGAAUUGAACAAAACCAGAGACAAUGUUCAUUUCCUUACUGAAACUUGUCAGUUGACUCAGUUCUAUUAAAACAACUGGAAAGCCUUUUUCCACUCUCCUCUCCUGCAGUCCUGUGCUCUUUAGCCAGCUGCACAUGCAAAGCAGCACAACUCAGCAGUGCUUGCUAUGUUGUAAAGAAAAAAAACAAAAAACCCCACAAAAAUCAAGAGCUGCAGUGUCACAAUUUUCCUGGGAAAACAGGGACUAAGGAACCUUUACCCUGAUUUUACCUGACCUCUGAGACCUGAGGACUCAUAGACACAGUGAAUGUAUUAGCACAGAGCAGAGCUGCAUGGGAUAAAAUAUUUAUGGUUUCUAUUUCAUCACUGGACCUGAAAUGAGGCAUGGUUAAACCUCUUCCUGAACCCUCUCCUCAGUGUGGCCAUGCCAGCAAAGCUUAGCAGAUCAGCAAUAGUAGAAACAAAAUGUUUAGACACGUUUUCAGAUAUCCAUGUAUUUUCCUUUUUUCUCCCUUAAAAAAGGCAGAAGCAGGAAGUGCAAAGGGAAUUCUAGCUGAAGUGACCUGCCCAGCUCCCAGCUGGGGCACUAUGGGGGCUGACACAGAGGCUAUUUUAAGAUAAGGAAAGGCUCACAACCUUCAGAUGUCAACAUUUAGCAGUGGGCAGAAUUUCAAGUAUUUACACAGCCAUGUCCCUUUCUGAGGAAAUGCAAACAUGAACGUUUUUUACACCAUAACUGCUGUGCAGAACAGGAAGUGUUACCAAGAAGGAGUUGAAUUCUUUUCCCACUCAUCCAAGUCAGGAUGACAAGCUUUGGGGAUUACUACUGUAAUUUGUGAAAAUACUAUAUUCAAAGACCUGUAAUAAACCACAGACAAGACUGGAGAUAACUGCUUUAUUUUUACAUUUCAGCAACAGGAGAAAUAAUUGAAGAUGAAAUUACCUGCUUUGUUGUAAAGUAUAAAAACAUUUAAUUAUAAAUAUUUAGCUAAAAAAGCGUGAUUUAUAAAAUAUAAUCUGUGAAGAUAUAUACACAGUUUAAUCGUUUAGCAAUUCUUUCACCUGACAUUAAAGAGUAGAGGUUUUUCUAUUUAUUAUUCCAUGCUCACAGUUUAGUGCUCACAGUUUAAGAAGCAAAACAGAUUAAGUGAAAAGAUGACUGGUGAGUUUUGUCCUGGAAAAAAAAAAAA